RNAcentral lists this ribosomal RNA (253 nucleotides) under uncultured bacterium. Its description in RNAcentral is "partial 16S ribosomal RNA". It matches the Rfam family "Bacterial small subunit ribosomal RNA", at positions 524 to 776 of the family's 1533-position model. The record is from RNAcentral.
UACGUAGGGGGCAAGCGUUGUCCGGAAUCAUUGGGCGUAAAGCGCGUGUAGGCGGUUUGGUAAGUCCGCUGUGAAAGUCCAGGGCUCAACCCUGGAAUGCCGGUGGAUACUGCCAGACUAGAGUCCAGAAGAGGCGAGUGGAAUUCCUGGUGUAGCGGUGAAAUGCGCAGAUAUCAGGAGGAACACCUAUGGCGAAGGCAGCUCGCUGGGACGGUACUGACGCUGAGACGCGAAAGCGUGGGGAGCAAACAGG